GUAAGGUAACAUCUUAAGGUACUUGACUAUCACUUUUAUAAGCUUCUCCUUGGUUCUGGCGUUCACAUGAGUAAAAGAGACAAACAUGUAUGAUUUACAACUCUAGAUUAACCAACCCAAUCGAUUCAAUAUGUUUAGUCCUUCCACCUUUGUGAUCCCACACUCCUAAUCAUAUGAGCUAAAAUGUUGCACACUCAAUCUUUGGAAGAUAUAUAUAUAUAUAUAAAAACAUAAAUAUAGAUAGAUUAUCUUUCCAUUAGGUUGAGUGAUCUGAUCUGACGAAUGUUUUAAAUGCUACACUCAUGAUCUUAUUAUCCAUCAACUGUGUCUUGCUCACUAUGCUUAAGGAUAGAGAAGAGGAAAUACACUUUUUGUUCUGUUGGUGUUUUCCACCAACAGGGCCCAUGCACUUGAUCUCUGCCUUGUCUCUAUGAGCAGGUACAUUUCGAGCAAAAUAUGAAGGACUUUUAUAACUCCUAGACUCCACCAAGUGAAGAACCUAGAUCUACGAGCACAAACACACUGGAGAUACUGGACACUCAGGCAAUCACUGCCCUGAGAUGCUUGAGGACGUAACUACUGGAGUAACCCUGUUGUGGAAGUAAUUACUGACCUUCUGCC
This 621-nucleotide long non-coding RNA is filed under the name Sorghum bicolor (sorghum). RNAcentral describes it as "long non-coding RNA (SBIC_LNC006746)". Lineage: Eukaryota; Viridiplantae; Streptophyta; Magnoliopsida; Poales; Poaceae. The record is from RNAcentral.